This 1271-nucleotide ribosomal RNA is filed under the name metagenome. RNAcentral describes it as "SSU rRNA". It matches the Rfam family "Eukaryotic small subunit ribosomal RNA", at positions 119 to 1364 of the family's 1831-position model. The record is from RNAcentral.
GAAUGUAUGAGAAUACUACUUGGAUAACCGUAGUAAUUCUAGAGCUAAUACAUGCAACGACGCCCGACCGUUUCACUACGGAAGGGCUGUAUUUAUUGGAUACCAAAACCAUCCUUCCCUCGGGAAGUUUUGUUUGAUGAUUCACAAUAACUGAUCGGAUCGCCACUGUGGUGGCGACAGGUCAUUCAACAUUCUGCCCUAUCAGCUUUCGAUGGUUGUGUAGUGGACAACCAUGGCCAUAACGGGUAACGGAGAAUCAGGGUUCGAUUCCGGAGAAGGAGCUUGAGAAUUGGCUACUACAUCUAAGGAAGGCAGCAGGCGCGCAAUUACCCAAUCCCGAUUCGGGGAGGUAGUGACAAAAAAUAACAAUACCGGGCCUUUUUGGGCUUGGUAAUUGGAAUGAGGGAGAGUUAAACGGACCAACGAGUAUCCAUUGGAGGGCAAGUCUGGUGCCAGCAGCUGCGGUAAUACCAGCUCCAAUAGCGUAUAUUAAAGUUGUUGCAGUUAAAAAGCUCGUAGUUGGACUUGUGUGCGCUGUCCGCGGGUGGCCUGCGCUCAAAAGGGUGUUUCGGUUCGACCCCGGUGGCGCCUUGAAAUCUGCAGCUGGGGGGACGUUGGCCUUAACUGGUCGGCGACCGCACGCCGGCUGCUCGGUUACUGUGAGAAAAUUAGAGUGUUCAAGGCAGGCAUUGGGUGCAAUUGAAUACAUUAGCAUGGAAUAAUAAAAUAUGGCUCCUGCCGUAUUUUGUUGGUUUUGACUGGUGGGAGUAAUGAUUGAUAGGGACGGUUGGGGGUGCUAGUAUUGAGCGGCCAGAGGUGAAAUUCAUGGAUUCGCUCAAGACUAACUUAUGCGAAAGCAUUCACCAAGGACGUCCUCUUUAAUCAAGAACGAAAGUUGGGGGAUCAAGACGAUCAGAUACCGUCGUAGUCUCAACCAUAAACUAUGUCGACUUGGGAUCGGCGGUAGUUUUUUCAUUAAGACACUGUCGGGACCACGGGAGAAAUCAAAGUGUCUGGACUCUGGGGGAAGUAUGGUCGCAAGGCUGAAACUUGAAGGAAUUGACGGAAGGGCACCACCAGGAGUGGAGCCUGCGGCUUAAUUUGACCCAACACGGGGAAACUUACCAGGUCCAGAGAUGUAGAGGAUUGACAGAUUGAAGCUCUUUCUUGAUCACUUCGGUGGUGGUGCAUGGCCGUUCUUAGUUGGUGGAGUGAUUUGUCUGGUUAAUUCCGUUAACGAACGAGACCUCAGCCUGCUAGUGUAGUCGGCU